Molecule: ribosomal RNA, 465 nt
Filed under: Vreelandella stevensii
Lineage: Bacteria; Pseudomonadati; Pseudomonadota; Gammaproteobacteria; Oceanospirillales; Halomonadaceae
Description: partial 16S ribosomal RNA
Rfam family: Bacterial small subunit ribosomal RNA
Source: RNAcentral
CCUACGGGGGGCAGCAGUGGGGAAUAUUGGACAAUGGGGGGAACCCUGAUCCAGCCAUGCCGCGUGUGUGAAGAAGGCCCUCGGGUGGUAAAGCACUUUCAGUGAGGAAGAACGCCUGGUGGUUAAUACCCAUCAGGAAAGACAUCACUCACAGAAGAAGCACCGGCUAACUCCGUGCCAGCAGCCGCGGUAAUACGGAGGGUGCGAGCGUUAAUCGGAAUUACUGGGCGUAAAGCGCGCGUAGGUGGCUUGAUAAGCCGGUUGUGAAAGCCCCGGGCUCAACCUGGGAACGGCAUCCGGAACUGUCAAGCUAGAGUGCAGGAGAGGAAGGUAGAAUUCCCGGUGUAGCGGUGAAAUGCGUAGAGAUCGGGAGGAAUACCAGUGGCGAAGGCGGCCUUCUGGACUGACACUGACACUGAGGUGCGAAAGCGUGGGUAGCAAACAGGAUUAGAUACCCUUGUAGUC